CGGUUAAGCCUCCGACUUCAGCCAGGUCACGAUCUCGCGACUGAAACACGGUGAGGUAGCUGUACAGCUUCGACUUGACAGAGCAAGACCACAAUGGCUAGCUGCCUUUGAAGAUAACAGAGCUAUGUGGUGGAGCUAUUUUGAGAAGAUGGGGAGCAGAAGUGAUAUGUGCCAUUCUGGCCAAUAAACACCUUGGUACAAUGCUCUUGAGAAACCUAAGAGCUUAUAUUUUUUUCAUGAAGGCAAUGCCCACCCAACCUGCUCUGCAAAGUGUCCAAGACCCAUGCUACUAACGCCAUGCGGGCCCUACCAUCUGCUAGAGAAGUCACAAGUCAAUGAUGGUUGUUGCAUUAAAGCACUAGGCACAGAUCAGCUGGCUUUCCAGAAAUAUACUACACUAUCUGGAAAUCCAGGUGUGAAGAACAAAUUUCUGUGCCCUGGAUAUUAAACAGAGAUGGCCUCCUUCAUAAACUAACCACAGCCAAUUUACGCAGAUACCCACUGCAGAAAAAGCACAAAACAGUAUAAACAACAGAUCGCUACUUAAUCCCCAUCCAUUUUUAAAAGGAGUUCACCAAGAUGUUUCAGGUGGAAGAAAAGAAUACUGAAGAGUCUAAUGGCCCUCAAAGUACUAUUUCCACUGCCAGUUUUCACCGCAGAAGCACAGGAAACACCUCAAAGUCCUGCACAGAGAUGGGUACAGCCUCAUGGACAACUGUUGGGCCAAUGCUUUGGUUUUCGGCGGUACACAAACAGAAAGGUCCUGGGCAGCAAGUAACAACAUGAGAUAAGAAAAGAAACCCUACUGGGGUGCCUAAGUGGUUCAGUUGGUUAAGCAUCU
Puma concolor (puma) is the source of this 841-nucleotide non-coding RNA. The record is from RefSeq and is a predicted model, not a curated record. NCBI's taxonomy places the organism in Eukaryota, Metazoa, Chordata, Mammalia, Carnivora, Felidae.